UACGUAGGUGGCAAGCGUUGUCCGGAAUUAUUGGGCGUAAAGCGCGCGCAGGCGGUCCUUUAAGUCUGAUGUGAAAGCCCUCGGCUCAACCGAGGAGGGUCAUUGGAAACUGGAGGACUUGAGUGCAGAAGAGGAAAGUGGAAUUCCAAGUGUAGCGGUGAAAUGCGUAGAUAUCUGGAGGAACACCGGUGGCGAAGGCGGCAUCCUGGACCGACACUGACGCUGAGGCGCGAAAGCUAGGGUAGCAAACGGG
Molecule: ribosomal RNA, 253 nt
Filed under: uncultured bacterium
Lineage: Bacteria
Description: partial 16S ribosomal RNA
Rfam family: Bacterial small subunit ribosomal RNA
Source: RNAcentral